RNAcentral lists this non-coding RNA (31 nucleotides) under Mus musculus (house mouse). The record is from RNAcentral. Lineage: Eukaryota; Metazoa; Chordata; Mammalia; Rodentia; Muridae.
UAAAACAAAGCAAGUAGAGAAAAGGGUGCAC